Molecule: ribosomal RNA, 260 nt
Filed under: uncultured bacterium
Lineage: Bacteria
Description: partial 16S ribosomal RNA
Rfam family: Bacterial small subunit ribosomal RNA
Source: RNAcentral
CGAGUGGCGGACGGGUGAGUAAUGUCUGGGAAACUGCCUGAUGGAGGGGGAUAACUACUGGAAACGGUAGCUAAUACCGCAUAACGUCGAAAGACCAAAGAGGGGGACCUUCGGGCCUCUUGCCAUCGGAUGUGCCCAGAUGGGAUUAGCUUGUUGGUGGGGUAAUGGCUCACCAAGGCGACGAUCCCUAGCUGGUCUGAGAGGAUGACCAGCCACACUGGAACUGAGACACGGUCCAGACUCCUACGGGAGGCAGCAUG